This 122-nucleotide ribosomal RNA is filed under the name Oceanospirillales bacterium. RNAcentral describes it as "partial 16S ribosomal RNA". It matches the Rfam family "Bacterial small subunit ribosomal RNA", at positions 1 to 115 of the family's 1533-position model. The record is from RNAcentral. Lineage: Bacteria; Pseudomonadati; Pseudomonadota; Gammaproteobacteria; Oceanospirillales.
UUAAACUGAAGAGUUUGAUCAUGGCUCAGAUUGAACGCUGGCGGCAGGCUUAACACAUGCAAGUCGAGCGGUAACAGGGGAAGCUUGCUUCCCGCUGACGAGCGGCGGACGGGUGAGUAAUG